Molecule: long non-coding RNA, 301 nt
Filed under: Heterocephalus glaber (naked mole-rat)
Lineage: Eukaryota; Metazoa; Chordata; Mammalia; Rodentia; Bathyergidae
Description: lncRNA (ENSHGLG00000032091.1)
Source: RNAcentral
AUUUUGAGUUAAUUUUUUUAUAUAAACACUAAGAAUGUAUUUCUUGCUGUUCUAUUCUGUAGACCCAUGUCUUAUGCCUUAUGCUACUUUCACCUGGUUUUGAUUACUGUUGUCUCUGCAGGAUCUUUCUUUUUUUGGUACUGGGGAUUGAACUCGGGACCUUGCACUUGCAAGGCCAGCGCUGGAACCACUAAAGCUAAAUCCCCAGCCCACAUUAGGAUUUCUUGAGGACUAGGACGGUGUGGCUAACAGUUUAUGACUGCUACUUAAUAACUCAGUAAGUACUGAAAUAAUGAUAAUG